AGAUUGAACGCUGGCGGCAUGCCUUACACAUGCAAGUCGAACGCGAAAGGGGGAGCAAUCCCCCAAGUAGAGUGGCGAACGGGUGAGUAAUACAUCGGAACGUAUCCAGUAGCGGGGGAUAACCUCUCGAAAGAGAGGCUAAUACCGCAUACGACCUACGGGUGAAAGAGGGGGAUCGCAAGACCUCUCACUAUUGGAGCGGCCGAUGUCGGAUUAGCUAGUUGGCGGGUAAAAGCCCACCAAGGCUACGAUCCGUAGCUGGUCUGAGAGGACGACCAGCCACACUGGAACUGAGACACGGUCCAGACUCCUACGGGAGGCAGCAGUGGGAAUUUGGACAAUGGGCGCAAGCCUGAUCCAGCCAUGCCGCGUGAGUGAAGAAGGCCUUCGGGUUGUAAGCUCUUUCGGCGGGACGAAAGGUCCGUGUUAACACCAUGAUCCAUGACGUACCGCAGAAGAAGCACCGGCUAACUACGUAGCCAGCACGCCGC
Molecule: ribosomal RNA, 491 nt
Filed under: uncultured soil bacterium
Lineage: Bacteria
Description: bacterial SSU rRNA
Rfam family: Bacterial small subunit ribosomal RNA
Source: RNAcentral